Bufo bufo (common toad) is the source of this 717-nucleotide long non-coding RNA. RefSeq lists it as uncharacterized. Lineage: Eukaryota; Metazoa; Chordata; Amphibia; Anura; Bufonidae. The transcript is spliced from 3 exons. The record is from RefSeq and is a predicted model, not a curated record.
UGCAUCUGGGAUACGCGCAGUGAUGACUACCACAAUCGGUAUAAAAAAGAUCAGGCCUGGGUGGAAAUAACCAAGGAGCUUUUUGAAUCCAGCUGGGAAAAAACACAUGGCAAAAGCCUCCAGAAUUUGGUGGACGAUGUCAAGAAUCGUUGGCGGAGCUGCAGGGACCAGUUCCGCAAGGAAAUGCUUCAACAUGCGAGGAGUAUUUCCGGGCCACCAAGAAAAGGCCAUAUAUGUUCCUGAACCAACUGAUGUUCCUCCGUGAGGUCAUGGAGCUGCGUCCGACAGAGGACAACCUACCGGAAGAAGAGGAGGAGUCAGCACCGCAGAUGUCCAGUGCUUGUGAGGAAGACACUCCCUCUUGUCCAUCACAGGUGGACACAGCACCAGGACCAAACACUGCACCAUCCAGACCACCACCUGUUUCUGGAGCAGAUUCCCCCCCCCCCCCCAGCCCUUUGGCUCUACCCAGCAGGCCCAGACGACGGGCAACCACUCCUGCCGAUACAAGUGUAAAUACGCAGGUUAUGGAUUAUUUAGCUAGAGCCUGGCAUGAGGAUGAAUUUGAUCAUUAUGUGCGUAGUAUGGCCUCAUAUUUGCACAGGCUGCCUCCAGAACGAGUUUUGCUCACCAAAGCAGCUCUAAAUAUCGUUUUGGAUGCAGCCACUCCCCCCAAUGACCCAAAUGUCAUUUUCGAGGGCCUUGAAAAUUGGCGCC